UCAGUUACCACUCACCACUGCCAUUGCAUUCUGAAAGUGGAUGUUGGCGUCGGUAGAGUAAUCUUUCUUUGGCGAUAGCAUUGAAUUCAGGUGAUAGAAGCAUCGAUCUUUGUUGUUAAUCACAACUAAGGUGUAGUGGUGGCUGGACCCGUGAUAUACUGGAACAAAAACCAAGUCCUUACUAAAGAUGGAUCACAGAGGAUUAAUAAUGGAAAGCUCUAUAUCCAAUUCAUUACAUUUGAAUUCUCCCUGUUUUCCUCCUCCAGCAAGGAACUCCUUCAAUUUUUGUUCAUGUACAACAGCCACACACUGUAUUUAUAAAAGCAAGUAAGAUUGUGUUAACUGAAAAAAGUAAGGGAGAAGACCGUGGUGCAGCGACACACUGCUAUUUCACGUUACACUACUUACCGCUGCCUCUAUGUCUAGGAAUCUAACCGAGACAUUCUUCUUUUUCACUUCCUCUUUCAACAUUUGCAGGUACACCCUGAUUGUCUGCAUGUACAACAUAAGUCAUAAAUUCACAAAUUACAACAAAGAAUACGUCUUUGGGUACUCUAACAUCAACUUUACUGGGUUAGUAAGACAUAAAUUUUUCUCACAUUAGAUGUUAUCUCUCCUUCUUGGAGAAAGGAAGACCCUAGAUUAGUCUCCAAAACAGCAUCCUUAUACCAUCUUAACAUAGAAAAGAAAUCAGAAUUAGUUCCUUAAAUCUUUUCCACACACCUUCUCUUUGCACUUGAAGCAACCUUAUAACUAAUUUCAAAACCAUAAGUAGACUUGAAAUUGUUCAUGAUCUCAACAGGCUUCAAACCAAGAUUUAAACAAACAUUUGACUCAAUGCAGGUCCUAACAAUUUUAGACCCUAACUGCCGAUGACGAAUGGAGUCAAUCAAGUCAGAAAGGUUCAGAAGUGCAUUAUGUUGAACAAUAAAUCCAUUUUCAAAAUAGAUAAAUUGAGCAACCAAAGAAUCAACCAUGUUCCUGCAUAAAAAAAGAGUUCACAAAAAUUACUGACCCCAAUAAAUUACAUCACAAUUUACCAACCAUAAACCCUUAAUUCAUUUAUUAACUGGAAUAGGAACAAAAAUUCAUUCACACAAGUCAAAAUCAGAAAAUAGGAAAAAGUAGAAGCACAAAGCAAAAAUCUGACAUUUCAAUAAAAUAAAAUAAAAACAAAAACAGAAACAGAAAUUUAAAUCAAAACUAUAAACACACAUAUCACAAUAUCACAUCAUAAACUCUAAAGGACGGAUAUAAUUGAAAUAAUUAUCGCUAAGAAGACGACGCGGGAGUUUAAUAAAAGUACCUACCCGGAAGACACGGAUUCAAUUUGUUUAUACAAAGAAAUGACUGUUGUCUGUUGCAAAGUGAUGGAAACAGAUCUGAUAGAAAUGGAGAUGAGGCAAAUCGAGGAAGAUUCAUCCCUCCUUUGACAUAAGUUAUCAAUCUAGAUCUCAUUUGAUGCUUUGGCUUCUAGGUAGAGAUUAACAUAGAGA
RNAcentral lists this long non-coding RNA (1496 nucleotides) under Fragaria vesca (wild strawberry). RNAcentral describes it as "long non-coding RNA (FVES_LNC003748)". Lineage: Eukaryota; Viridiplantae; Streptophyta; Magnoliopsida; Rosales; Rosaceae. The record is from RNAcentral.